GACGAACGCUGGCGGCGUGCCUAACACAUGCAAGUCGAACGGACUGCGAGGAGCUUGCUCCUCAAAGUUAGUGGCGGACGGGUGAGUAACGCGUGAGUAACCUGCCUUACAGAGGGGGAUAACGUUUGGAAACGAACGCUAAUACCGCAUAAUGUAUCUGAUAUCGCAUGGUAUUGAUACCAAAGAUUUUAUCGCUGUAAGAUGGACUCGCGUCUGAUUAGAUAGUUGGCGGGGUAACGGCCCACCAAGUCGACGAUCAGUAGCCGGACUGAGAGGUUGAACGGCCACAUUGGGACUGAGACACGGCCCAGACUCCUACGGGAGGCAGCAGCGAGGGAUAUUGCACAAUGGGCGCAAGCCUGAUGCAGCAACGCCGCGUGAGGGAUGACGGUUUUCGGAUUGUAAACCUCUGUCUUUGGUGAAGAUAAUGACGGUACCAUAGGAGGAAGUCACGACUAACUACGUG
This 466-nucleotide ribosomal RNA is filed under the name uncultured bacterium. RNAcentral's name for it is "bacterial SSU rRNA". It matches the Rfam family "Bacterial small subunit ribosomal RNA", at positions 28 to 507 of the family's 1533-position model. The record is from RNAcentral.